GACAGAGGGUGCAAACGUUGCUCGGAAUUACUGGGCGUAAAGGGCGCGUAGGCGGUCUGCUAAGUCGAACGUGAAAUCCCUGGGCUCAACCCAGGAACUGCGUCCGAUACUGGUUGGCUUGAAUCCGGGAGAGGGAUGUGGAAUUCCAGGUGUAGCGGUGAAAUGCGUAGAUAUCUGGAGGAACACCGGUGGCGAAGGCGACAUCCUGGACCGGUAUUGACGCUGAGGCGCGAAAGCCAGGGGAGCAAACGGG
RNAcentral lists this ribosomal RNA (253 nucleotides) under uncultured bacterium. RNAcentral's name for it is "partial 16S ribosomal RNA". It matches the Rfam family "Bacterial small subunit ribosomal RNA", at positions 524 to 776 of the family's 1533-position model. The record is from RNAcentral.